Molecule: ribosomal RNA, 387 nt
Filed under: uncultured bacterium
Lineage: Bacteria
Description: bacterial SSU rRNA
Rfam family: Bacterial small subunit ribosomal RNA
Source: RNAcentral
AUUGAACGCUGGCGGCAUGCCUUACACAUGCAAGUCGAGCGGCAGCACGGGGGCAACCCUGGUGGCGAGUGGCGAACGGGUGAGUAAUACAUCGGAACGUGCCCUGAAGUGGGGGAUAACGUAGCGAAAGUUACGCUAAUACCGCAUAUUCUGUGAGCAGGAAAGCAGGGGAUCGCAAGACCUUGUGCUUUAGGAGCGGCCGAUGUCGGAUUAGCUAGUUGGUGAGGUAAAGGCUCACCAAGGCGACGAUCCGUAGCGGGUCUGAGAGGAUGAUCCGCCACACUGGGACUGAGACACGGCCCAGACUCCUACGGGAGGCAGCAGUGGGGAAUUUUGGACAAUGGGCGCAAGCCUGAUCCAGCCAUGCCGCGUGAGUGAAGAAGGCCU